This is a long non-coding RNA of Scleropages formosus (Asian bonytongue), 1918 nucleotides long. NCBI's taxonomy places the organism in Eukaryota, Metazoa, Chordata, Actinopteri, Osteoglossiformes, Osteoglossidae. The record is from Ensembl.
GGAACUUCUACUUAUCGAAUUUCAUUGAAUGUAUCAGUGUCUGGUUUCUGUGCGACCACAGAGGAACUUGUUUACUGCAGCGACAGUACCUGAGAAACACAUGCACAAAUUCCUUUUUUUUGCUUAGAAUACAAGCAAGCAUUUAUAGCUGUUAUAAAAAUUGUGAGCACAAAGCGCACACUGCAUUGUGAGUGCAGCCCACACUGAAGGCCUACUACACUCCACUGGUUCCCACUGCAGGUAGAAUUGCUUCCUUGGUUCUCUCAGAGCACACUGACAACCACCUAUUUGUUGGUGUGAGGGGGCUGAGAUGUUAUUGCAUUCUCAUCUCAACAUUCAGAACAGACUUCGAUAAAAAUGCGGUUUUUUUUUUUUUAUUAAGAUCAACCCAUGUCUCGGGGACGUCAGCACUGCAGUCUCUGUGAGAACUUCUUUCAGAAGUGGUCAUGCAUGUGGCAUGCUAGCUUAGUUCCUUUUUGUGAGAAAUGCUGCUGCUGCAAAAAAAGAAAAAAAAACACUCCCAUGAGGGGUCUUUUCUGUGAGAAACUCUUAACAACAGUGUGGAACUGGUUUCAUUUCAUCUUCACGUAACUAAUUGCUGCUAGAACAACACGUCUCUGCAAUGCACAUUGCACUGCAAAUGGACAUUUCAAACACAGUCAGACAUCGGUCAAGCGCUGUACUCAAGAAUGUCCUUUGCGCAGCAGCUCAGAUGAACUGAAAAAGUGUGGGAGAAGAGCUAGAGAAGAAUGCAACAAGAGCAUGUCUGGUAACAGCAAUGAAACCAGUACGGCUUCUACCAAAAAGGAUUCAUCUCGCACUCUGGAUCAGCCUUAUUUCUGUACAGUACGGGGAAGGAGGGAGACAUAGACAAGUGGAACUUGCUGGGACGACAGUGUUUCUCCAUUCUGCAAAUAAGGCAAAUAAGACUAUUCCGAGUAUACGGUGGAAAAAAUCGGACACUCUCAUUGGCAAUUUGCGAAAGGCAAAUAAGUCCUCAUAUCUGUGCUGUCAGUUUCAGCCCUCAUCUGUGUGUCGGUGUAUUAUUUUUCCUAAUGGGUCUCUGAGACUUGACUACGCAGCUAAAAAUGAUAAUGGAAAUUACACGGUAGAGUUGCAUGACGAUGUUGGCAAGGACAUUGGAUCUGUGGAUGUUGAACUGUUGGUUCAAGAGGUUGUGAGCUUACCCAAGGUUCUUGUGAUAUGUGGGCAAGAUGGCAACUACAUGAUGACCUGCUCAGUGCCUGAUAGUGAGGGAGUCGAGCUGUUCUGGAUGGACUCCUCCAACAGGACCUGGAAUGCUGAGCAUGCCCUGAGCCUUGCGUCCCACACACCGGGCUGGAUCGUCUGUGUGGCACAGAAUGAACUCAGCAGGCUCUCAAGCCAACCAGUGUCUCCACAAUGUAGAGGGCGCAUAUCAUUGUUGGUUGCCCUUGGAAUGUUCCUCUGUGUUUUAGCAUUUUCCAUGACCAUUAUGAUACGCCGUAACCGGAUACGGAAGGAUGAAAAUGAAGAUGUGGAAGAAAACCCUUAUGUCACAAUGCAUGGCCUUGUGGGGAAGAAGAAGAAGGAUGGGCGCAAAGAAAGUGUGGAGAUGGACACCUCAGUCUAUGUGACCUGCAGGACUUACUGCGUUAGAGACACUGAGGAUGGUAAUGAAGGCAACAUGUAACCAGACUCAUUUUAAAAGAGAAUAUCGGGAAAAAUGCAGCAACAGUGAAUGAACAUAAGACACAUUGAUGAAAGACGGCUAGGUUCAUGGUUCACAGGCUGGCUACAGCAUGGAACAGCUCAACUGCAUGUUUUUAAUUAAACUAUUUAUUUUGCAUAUGUCAGAAUAUCACAAAAUUCAGAGUAUGCUGUAUACACAUGUACAUACCUGGCAAAAAUCUCUAAUAAAUGUUUAAAUGUACUGCCA